GCCUGCAUGGUGGUGCAGUUGGUAGCACUGUUGUCUUGCAGCACAAAGAUCCUUGGUUUGACUCCUGGCCCGGGGU
Molecule: non-coding RNA, 76 nt
Organism: Characodon lateralis
Lineage: Eukaryota; Metazoa; Chordata; Actinopteri; Cyprinodontiformes; Goodeidae
Source: the annotation of a GenBank genome assembly